This 28-nucleotide unclassified non-coding RNA is filed under the name Mus musculus (house mouse). Its description in RNAcentral is "piRNA piR-mmu-68153818". The record is from RNAcentral. Lineage: Eukaryota; Metazoa; Chordata; Mammalia; Rodentia; Muridae.
UUGACAUAAACUAGCCAGUAUACCCUUG